This 354-nucleotide unclassified non-coding RNA is filed under the name Hevea brasiliensis (rubber tree). Lineage: Eukaryota; Viridiplantae; Streptophyta; Magnoliopsida; Malpighiales; Euphorbiaceae. The record is from RNAcentral.
UGGUGCUCCUUGAAGCAGAAGAAAGACCGUAAUACAUCUUCCUCAUCCAGCAAAAUAUACAUCAAGAUCAAUGAGGAUGAGAUUGCAAGUGAUUAUCCUUUACCUGCAUAUUACAAAACAUCUAAUGAAGAGACUGAUGAGUAUAUUGUCUUUGACAGUGGGGUUGAAACAUACCAUAUUGAUGAGUUGCCUCGCAGCAUGCUUCAUAAUUGGGCAUUAUACAACUCGGACUCAAGGCUAAUAUCUUUAGAACUGCUGCCAAUGAAAGCUUGUGCUGAUAUUGAUGUAACCAUUUUUGGGUCUGGAGUGAUGACUGCUGAUGAUGGGUCUGGCUACAAUUUUGACACAGAUGCA